Molecule: long non-coding RNA, 315 nt
Filed under: Mytilus galloprovincialis (Mediterranean mussel)
Lineage: Eukaryota; Metazoa; Mollusca; Bivalvia; Mytilida; Mytilidae
Source: RNAcentral
CAUAGUCAUCUAUAAAAGGCUCCGAAAUCACAAAUGUAAAACAAUCUAUACGCGAAAACUAUCGGCCUAAUUACAAACAAAAUGAACUAAAACAAAUUGGUAACACAGCAACAAACCACAACCACUGAGAUGCAGGCUCCUAACUUGGACAUGCAUAUACAUACAGAAUGUGGCGGGGUUAAACAUGUUAGCGGAAUCCCCACCCUCCCCCAACCUUGGACAGUGGUGUUGCAGUACAACAUAAGAACAAAGUAUAAAAAUUAGUUGAGAAAUGCUUGUUAUCGACAUUGAGGCAAUCGACGAUCUCAGUACCCC